UAUGUGAUCGUCUCUCGCAUAUCAAUAAGCGGAGGAAAAGAAACUAACAAGGAUUCCCCUAGUAACGGCGAGUGAAGCGGGAAGAGCUCAAAUUUGAAAUCUUAAAGGGUUUCCCUUUACGAAUUGUAGUUUAAAGAAGUGUUUUCUGUUGAGGUUUUGGUAAAAGUUCUUUGGAAUAGGACAUCAUAGAGGGUGAGAAUCCCGUAUUUGACCUUUACUUUCAACUUUGUGAUACACUUUCAAAGAGUCGGAUUGUUUGGGAAUGCAGUCCAAAAUGGGUGGUAAAUUUCAUCUAAAGCUAAAUAUUGGCGAGAGACCGAUAGCGAACAAGUACCGUGAGGGAAAGAUGAAAAGAACUUUGGAAAGAGAGUUAAACAGUACGUGAAAUUGUCAAAAGGGAAGCGUUUGACACCAGUGUUGUUUUUCUGAAAAUCAAUUAAAGAACUGUUUAUGCUAAGUUGUUUAGACUUUAUCAGCUAACUGUCUAGUUUUGAGCUUUUCUUUAAUGCACUUUUCAGUUAACAAGUCAACAUCAAUUUCUUUUGCUGUAAAAAAGCUUGAGGAAGGUGGCUUGAGAUUCGUCUUAAGUGUUUAUAGCCUCUUGCCUAUGCAGUCGGAGAGAUUGAGGUCUGCAGCGUAGAUCCUUCGGGGCUAAAUGCAUUUGUGCUAAGUUAUAGCAUUUUAUAGACAACUUGUUGACUAUGAUUUGUCUUGUAGCUUACUCGCUUAUGUUAUUUUACCUACGCUUAGGAUGUUGAAGAUAUGCGCGACACG
RNAcentral lists this ribosomal RNA (774 nucleotides) under uncultured Neocallimastigales. RNAcentral's name for it is "partial large subunit ribosomal RNA". It matches the Rfam family "Eukaryotic large subunit ribosomal RNA", at positions 24 to 644 of the family's 3401-position model. Lineage: Eukaryota; Fungi; Neocallimastigomycota; Neocallimastigomycetes; Neocallimastigales. The record is from RNAcentral.